CAACAAACACAAACCUGGAAAUAACACACAAUAGCAACAAAGCAUUCUAGUGUUAAUAACAUCAACCCAGAAACGUAAACAUGAACUUGUGUGGUAGUUCAGACUUCAGAAAUGAACAUACAACUUCAGAAAUUAAAAUGUGAUAGUUUAGACUUCAGACUUCAAACUGAAAAAUGAAAAUUAUUCAAUAAACUAAUAAAACUCAGAAAUUUUAGUCUUCCUUCAACAGAUAUCCAUCUUCAUCAAUUCAACAGCAUUCAUCACUCAUCAAAAGUUGAUAUCUACCAAAAUAAUCAAUGAAGUAUUAUGUAUCAGCAACAAUAAGCAACAAUCCAUAUAUGAUGCAUAAACAUUUACGGAGGAGCAGUUGCCAGUUAGAACACAAACCUUGAACUAGUCGUCAAGGUUUGUAACAGUUACAUGAUCAUCUCCAUCCCCUUGCAGUUGCUAAGUUUUACCUUCUCCAUCUGUUAUACAGUUAGAAUUACUGUAGAAGUAUAUAAACAACAGUCGAGAUAGCAAUGUAAUGACUAACUUACCAGAUGCAUCUUCAACUGUCAAAUCCUCCAUCGCCAUUAUUUAGAACACACGUUCGAGUUGUUUCAUUUCUGUUUCAUCUAGAACUAUAGAUUACAUGAACUUCCGAAAUCAGAAUAUAAACUGAAAAAAACUUUUGAAGAAACAUAAUUACGUCAUUAAUAAUGAUACCUGCAUGCAUAUUAUUUUGCAUCCAGCU
Molecule: long non-coding RNA, 736 nt
Filed under: Linum usitatissimum (flax)
Lineage: Eukaryota; Viridiplantae; Streptophyta; Magnoliopsida; Malpighiales; Linaceae
Description: long non-coding RNA (LUSI_LNC004172)
Source: RNAcentral